UGGCUCAGAGUGAACGCUAGCGGCGUGGUUAAGACAUGCAAGUCGAACGAUGAAGCCCAGCUUGCUGGGCGGAUUAGUGGCAUACGGGUGCGUAACACGUGAGCAACCUGCCUUGAAGUGGGGAAUAGCCCGGGGAAACCCGGAUUAAUACCGCACGUGGUCUCUUUUCGCAUGAAAAGACGACUAAAGUUUGUAAUGACUCUUCAAGAGGGGCUCGCGGCCUAUCAGCUUGUUGGUGAGGUAAAGGCUCACCAAGGCAAAGACGGGUAGCUGGUCUGAGAGGAUGAUCAGCCACACUGGAACUGAGAUACGGUCCAGACACCUACGGGUGGCAGCAGUUUCGAAUCAUUCACAAUGGGGGAAACCCUGAUGGUGCAACGCCGCGUGGAGGAUGACGGCCUUCGGGUUGUAAACUCCUGUCACCAAGGAACAAACGGCAGGUUCAUAGCCUGUCCUGAGUUAACUUGGAGAGGAAGAGGUGGCUAACUCCGUGCCAGCAGCCGCGGUAAUACGGAGACCUCGAGCGUUACUCGGAUUCACUGGGCGUAAAGAGUAUGUAGGCUGUUUGGUAUGUCAGGUGUGAAAGCCCGAAGCUCAACUUCGGAAUUGCGCCUGAAACUACCGGACUUGAGGCCUGGAGAGGGGAGUGGAAUUCCUGGUGUAGCGGUGAAAUGCGUAGAUAUCAGGAGGAACACCAAUGGCGAAGGCAGCUCCCUGGACAGGUUCUGACGCUGAGAUACGAAAGCGUGGGUAGCGAAAGGGAUUAGAUACCCUGGUAGUCCACGCCGUAAACUUUGCUCACUCGCUGUUGGCGAUAGACAGUCAGCGGCCAAGGGAAACCGAUAAGUGAGCCACCUGGGGAGUACGGCCGCAAGGUUGAAACUCAAAGGAAUUGACGGGGGCCCGCACAAGCGGUGGAACAUGUGGUUUAAUUCGAUGAUACGCGAGGAACCUUACCUGGGCUUAAAUGUGAAGUGCAUUGAUUGGAAACAAUCAUUUCCUUCGGGACCCUUUACAAGGUGCUGCAUGGUUGUCGUCAGCUCGUGCCGUGAGGUGUCGGGUUAAGUCCCAUAACGAGCGCAACCCCUAUUGUUAGUUACCAGCGCGUGAUGGCGGGGACUCUAGCGAAACUGCCGGUGUAAACCGCGAGGAAGGUGGGGAUGACGUCAAAUCAGCACGGCCCUUAUGUCCAGGGCUACACACGUGUUACAAUGGCCGGUACAGCGGGCAGCUAGGCAGCGAUGUCAUGCUAAUCCCGAAAGCCGGUCCCAGUUCGGAUUGGAGUCUGCAACCCGACUCCAUGAAGGUGGAAUCGCUAGUAAUCGCGCAUCAGCCAUGGCGCGGUGAUACGUUCCCGGGCCUUGUACACACCGCCCGUCAAGCCAUGGAAGUCUGGGGUGCCUGAAGGCCGUAAC
RNAcentral lists this ribosomal RNA (1415 nucleotides) under uncultured organism. RNAcentral's name for it is "bacterial SSU rRNA". It matches the Rfam family "Bacterial small subunit ribosomal RNA". The record is from RNAcentral.